This is a long non-coding RNA of Dromaius novaehollandiae (emu), 764 nucleotides long. The record is from Ensembl. NCBI's taxonomy places the organism in Eukaryota, Metazoa, Chordata, Aves, Casuariiformes, Dromaiidae.
CAGCUGACACCUCAGGCUGACUUUGUCUCACACAUCAAACCACCACCUGCCUUGGUUAUAAGGAAGGGAUGAAGGAAGGUGAAAGAUACUCGGACAGAAGAAGCCAGCACAGAACUAAGAGCAGUAUGAAGGAAAGAUAUCUUCAGUCAAAGAGAACCCUCCAGGAGGAGCAACUCAUCAAAAGAGCAGAGAGGGAGCCUCUCCUGACACGCUACCUACAUCUACUGGAAGCACAAAAGAGCAGUCCCUCUAAAAGCCACAAGAGCAACGCUCUCAUUCCGCGAUGCACUAACUGCUUGAGGAAAGACAUCCAAGUCCUUCAGGAUUUCAUCAGGGUGCAUGAAUCUUCUCAAGAUGUUGUUGCCCGUGAAGAAGUUGUUAUCGUCAGUGAAGACACUGAAGUUUGCAAACCCAUGCCACCAAAGAGAGGUAAACUCUCUGAGGAGGUAGCCCAAAUGCAACAACACAGAAGACCACCAGCAAGCAGGGAUUCUCCAUCAGCCCAGCACAUAUACAAUAGGGAGUCUCUAGGUGGCAGGGCAACGUCUGAAUUUUCAGACAGAGUGACUGAACCAAAUAAUAUGUAUCAUCUUGCUGAAGGUAAGUGCGACUGUGUGAGUUUGUGUGAAAGGGAGAGAAAUGGAGCAGCACCAAUACAAUAUUCCGCUGUCACCCAUAGCAGGAUUCUGUACAAAAUUGUCUUUAUUGUUCACAGUGUAAUUAUAAAAGCAUUUAGGCUUGUGAGAGCAUGUUCAUUUUCCUAG